Molecule: long non-coding RNA, 567 nt
Organism: Ochlerotatus camptorhynchus
Lineage: Eukaryota; Metazoa; Arthropoda; Insecta; Diptera; Culicidae
Exons: 3
Source: RefSeq, a predicted model, not a curated record
CGUGUUGACUGAGCUACUGACUGAGUGCUCGGCUGUCAGUGACUCGUUUACCUCUGAAUCAUUCAGACUCUCACGAGGUAGUGAAUGGUGAGGCAGAUGGCAGUUCAUAUUCAUAUCAAAAUUACUCAAUGAACCUGACUGUUUUGCGCACUGAUAAUUUCUAAAAGCAUUCUCACACAAAACUUGAAUUUUAUAACGGAAGAUCUUAAAAUUAACCGAGGUUUUCAUUGUCGUCCGCAACAGCCAGUUUUAAAAGUUAAUCCGAGUUAUAGCUUACCACUAUCAGACUGCUUGAUUGACUGUUUGAUUUGUGGUAUUUAUCCAAUUGCGAACCGACACUCGGCUUCCAGUAUUUAAGCCAGUAAUCAUCUUCAGACGUCUAUGAUAUCUAAGAAAGUGAAGAUCAGCUACAGGUAAGAUGCACCUCGUCUGUUCGUUGCUUGUUUAUGCGGCAGCACUUUCAUUUUGUUUGUGUCAACAAAUAACUGAAGCACAUUUCCAAGAAUGUGCCGAAAAAUUGAUAAAAGACAACAAAGAGCUUAAGUGCGCGAUAAGCAAACUGCGAGU